GAUGAACGCUGGCGGCGUGCCUAAUACAUGCAAGUCGAGCGAACGGACGAGAUUCUUGCUUUUCUGAUGUUAGCGACGGACGGGUGAGUAACACGUGGAUAACCCACCUAUAUGACUUGGAUAACUGCGGGAAACCGGAGCUAAUACCGGAUGAUCCUUUGAACCGCAGGGUGCAAAAGUGAAAGACGGUCUUGCUGUCACUUAUAGAUGGAUCCGCGCUGCAUUAGCUAGUUGGUAAGGUAACGGCUUACCAAGGCAACGAUGGAUAGCCGACGUGAGAGGGUGUAGGCGGACACUGGAGGUGAGACGCCGUCCUGACUCCUAGGGGCGGCAGAAGUAGCGAAUCGUGGGAGAUGGGGGGAAGCCUGACGGAGCGGCGGCGCGUGGGUGAUGAAAGUCUUCGGGCCGGAAAACGCUGUUAUGGGGGAAAAACAUAUGUGUAAGUGACUGAGCACUGUGUGACGGUACCUGGUAAAAAAGCACCGGCUAACUACGUG
Molecule: ribosomal RNA, 497 nt
Filed under: uncultured bacterium
Lineage: Bacteria
Description: partial 16S ribosomal RNA
Rfam family: Bacterial small subunit ribosomal RNA
Source: RNAcentral